GAUGAACGCUGGCGGCGUGCCUAAUACAUGCAAGUCGAGCGAACAGAUGAGGAGCUUGCUCCUCUGACGUUAGCGGCGGACGGGUGAGUAACACGUGGAUAACCUACCUAUAAGACUGGGAUAACUUCGGGAAACCGGAGCUAAUACCGGAUAAUAUAUUGAACCGCAUGGUUCAAUUGUGAAAGACGGUUUUGCUGUCACUUAUAGAUGGAUCCGCGCCGCAUUAGCUAGUUGGUAAGGUAACGGCUUACCAAGGCAACGAUGCGUAGCCGACCUGAGAGGGUGAUCGGCCACACUGGAACUGAGACACGGUCCAGACUCCUACGGGAGGCAGCAGUAGGGAAUCUUCCGCAAUGGGCGAAAGCCUGACGGAGCAACGCCGCGUGAGUGAUGAAGGUCUUCGGAUCGUAAAACUCUGUUAUUAGGGAAGAACAAAUGUGUAAGUAACUAUGCACGUCUUGACGGUACCUAAUCAGAAAGCCACGGCUAACUACGU
This 496-nucleotide ribosomal RNA is filed under the name uncultured bacterium. RNAcentral describes it as "partial 16S ribosomal RNA". It matches the Rfam family "Bacterial small subunit ribosomal RNA", at positions 28 to 506 of the family's 1533-position model. The record is from RNAcentral.